AGAGUUUGAUCCUGGCUCAGAACGAACGCUGGCGGCAUGCCUAACACGUGCAAGUCGAACGAGACCUUCGAGUCUAGUGGCGCACGGGUGCGUAACACGUGGGAACCUGCCCUUAGGUUCGGAAUAACCAGGAGAAAUCCUGGCUAAUACCGAAUAAUGUCUUCGGACCAAAGAUUUAUCGCCUUUGGAUGGGCCCGCGUAGGAUUAGGUAGUUGGUGGGGUAAUGGCCUACCAAGCCGACGAUCCUUAGCUGGUCUGAGAGGAUGAUCAGCCACACUGGGACUGAGACACGGCCCAGACUCCUACGGGAGGCAGCAGUGGGGAAUAUUGGACAAUGGGCGAAAGCCCGAUCCAGCAAUGCCGCGUGAGUGAUGAAGGCCUUAGGGUUGUAAAGCUCUUUUACCCGGGAUGAUAAUGACAGUACCGGGAGAAUAAGCUCCGGCUAACUCCGUG
Molecule: ribosomal RNA, 453 nt
Filed under: uncultured Sphingomonadales bacterium
Lineage: Bacteria; Pseudomonadati; Pseudomonadota; Alphaproteobacteria; Sphingomonadales
Description: bacterial SSU rRNA
Rfam family: Bacterial small subunit ribosomal RNA
Source: RNAcentral